Non-coding RNA from Pelobates cultripes (western spadefoot toad), 208 nucleotides. Lineage: Eukaryota; Metazoa; Chordata; Amphibia; Anura; Pelobatidae. The record is from the annotation of a GenBank genome assembly.
CACAAUUCCAAGUUUACUCUCUAGUAGUUACAGCAGAAAAAUGUGAAGGUUCUGGAGUGGCCAUCACAGUCUCCUGACUUUAUUAUCAUCAAGCCACUCUGGGUAGAUCUCAAACGUGUGGUUCAAGCAAGACGUCCAUAGACUUUGUAUGACCUGGAGGUAUUUUGCCAAAAUGAAUGGGCAGCCAUACCACAUGCAAGAAUUAGGG